AAAAUUUGUUAUUAAUUUGAUUUAUAUGUAAAUUUUUGUGUGAAUUUGUAUUAAUUUUAAAAAUUUUUAUAAUUUUUAUAUCCGCAGUAAUUAAUUUUAUUAAUUAAAGAAAUUUAGAAAUAGCAAUAUUAAAGAGUAUAGAUAAAAUUGGUGCCAGCAAUCGCGGUUACACCAAUUAUACAAAUGAAUUUUUUUAGUAAAAGUUAAAUUGUUUAAUAUUAUAUGUAAAUAUAAUUAAAUUUAUUAAGUGAAAUUUUAAAUUUAAAUUUUUUAUAGUAAAAUAAAUUGAAGCUUAAAAAUUUUAAUGAA
This 309-nucleotide ribosomal RNA is filed under the name Drosophila pallidipennis. RNAcentral describes it as "partial 12S ribosomal RNA". The record is from RNAcentral. Lineage: Eukaryota; Metazoa; Arthropoda; Insecta; Diptera; Drosophilidae.